This 1424-nucleotide ribosomal RNA is filed under the name uncultured Pelagibacterales bacterium. RNAcentral's name for it is "bacterial SSU rRNA". It matches the Rfam family "Bacterial small subunit ribosomal RNA". The record is from RNAcentral. Lineage: Bacteria; Pseudomonadati; Pseudomonadota; Alphaproteobacteria; Candidatus Pelagibacterales.
AGAGUUUGAUCCUGGCUCAGAACGUACGCUGGCGGCACGCUUAACACAUGCAAGUCGAACGAAGUAGCAAUACUUAGUGGCAGACGGGUGAGUACAAUGUGGGAAUCUGCCUUUUGGUUUAGAAUAACUCGGGGAAACUUGAGCUAAUACUAGAUAAGCCCUCACGGGGAAAGCUUUAUGCGCCAAGAGAUGAGCCCGCACUUGAUUAGCUUGUUGGUGAGGUAAAAGCUCACCAAGGCAACGAUCAAUAGCUGUUCUUAGAGGAAGAUCAGCCACAUUGGGACUGAGACACGGCCCAGACUCCUACGGGAGGCAGCAGUGGGGAAUCUUGCACAAUGGGGGAAACCCUGAUGCAGCGAUGCCGCGUGAGUGAAGAAGGCCUUUGGGUUGUAAAAUCUUUCGUCGGGGAAGAAAUGACUGUACCGGAUAAGAAGGUCCGGCUUACUUCGUGCCAGCAGGCGCGGUAAUACGGAGGGACUUAGCGUAGUCGGAGUUACUGGGCUUAAAGAGCUCGUAGGUGGUAAAGAAGUUGGUGGUGAAAUCCCAGGGCUUAACCUUGGAACUGCCAUCAAAACUUUUUAGCUAGAGUAUGAUAGAGGAAAGUGGAAUUUCUAGUGUAGAGGUGAAAUUCGUAGAUAUUAGAAAGAACAUCAAAAGCGAAGGCAACUUUCUGGAUCAUUACUGACACUGAGGAGCGAAAGCAUGGGUAGCGAAGAGGAUUAGAUACCCUCGUAGUCCAUGCCGUAAACGAUGUGUGCUAGACGUUGGAAAUUUAAUUUUCAGUGUCGCAGCAAAAGCGUUAAGCACACCGCCUGGGGAGUACGACCGCAAGGUUAAAACUCAAUGAAUUGACGGGACCCGCACAGCAGUGGAGCAUGUGGUUUAUUUCGGAGAUACGCGCAGAUCUUACGACUCUGACAUGUCGUCGCGACUCGUAGAGAUAUGAGUCUCGGUUCGGGCUGACGAAACACAGGUGCUGCAUGGCUGUCGUCAGCUCGUGUCUUGAGAUGUUGUGUUAAGUCCCGCAACGAGCGCAACCCCUACGUUUAGUUACUAACAUUUAGUUGAGUACUCUAAACGAACUGCCAGUGAUAAGCUGGAGGAAGGCGGGGAUGACGUCAAGUCCUCAUGGCCCUUACGAGUUGGGCUACACACGUGCUACAAUGGUACUUACAAUAAGACGCAAAGAGGCGACUCUAAGCUAAUCUUAAAAAUGUAUCUCAGUUCGGAUUGCACUCUGCAACUCGAGUGCAUGAAGCUGGAAUUGCUAGUAAUCGCGGAUCAGCGCGCCGCGGUGAAUACGUUCCCGGGUCUUGUACACACCGCCCGUCACACCAUGGAAGUUGGUUACACCUUAAGGCAAAGCGUAAAACCUUUGACUACGGUACGAUCAGCGACUGGGGUGAAGUCGUAACAAGGUAACC